AACGAACGCUGGCGGCAGGCUUAACACAUGCAAGUCGAACGAGACCUUCGGGUCUAGUGGCAGACGGGUGAGGAACACGUGGGAACAUCCCUUUCAGUUCGGAAUAACGUUGGGAAACUAACGCUAAUACCGGAUACGUCCUUCGGGAGAAAGAUUUAUCGCUGAAAGAUUGGCCCGCGUCUGAUUAGCUAGUUGGUGAGGUAAUGGCUCACCACGUCUACGAUCAGUAGCUGAUCUGAGAGGAUUAUCAGCCACAUUGGGACUGAGACACGGCCCAAACUCCUACGGGAGGCAGCAGUGGGGAAUAUUGGACAAUGGGCGCAAGCCUGAUCCAGCCAUGCCGCGUGAGUGAUGAAGGCCUUCGGGUUGUAAAGCUCUUUUGUCCGGGAAGAUAAUGACUGUACCGGAAGAAUAAGCCCCGGCAAACUUCGUGCCAGCCGCCGCCGUAA
RNAcentral lists this ribosomal RNA (449 nucleotides) under uncultured bacterium. Its description in RNAcentral is "partial 16S ribosomal RNA". It matches the Rfam family "Bacterial small subunit ribosomal RNA", at positions 29 to 523 of the family's 1533-position model. The record is from RNAcentral.